Molecule: ribosomal RNA, 861 nt
Filed under: uncultured organism
Description: bacterial SSU rRNA
Rfam family: Bacterial small subunit ribosomal RNA
Source: RNAcentral
AGGAUGAACGCUGGCGGUCUGCUUAACACAUGCAAGUCGAACGCAACCUUCGGGUUGAGUGGCGGACGGGUGAGUAACGCGUGAGAAUCUGCCUUGGGGUCGGGGACAACCACUGGAAACGGUGGCUAAUACCGGAUAAGCCUUUGGGUAAAAGAUUUAUUGCCCCAAGAGGAGCUCGCGUCUGAUUAGCUAGUUGGUGAGGUAAGAGCUCACCAAGGCAGCGAUCAGUAGCUGGUCUGAGAGGACGAUCAGCCACACUGGGACUGAGACACGGCCCAGACUCCUACGGGAGGCAGCAGUGGGGAAUUUUCCGCAAUGGGCGAAAGCCUGACGGAGCAAGACCGCGUGAGGGAGGAAGGCUCUUGGGUUGUAAACCUCUUUUCUCAGGGAAGAAGCUCUGACGGUACCUGAGGAAUCAGCCUCGGCUAACUCCGUGCCAGCAGCCGCGGUAAUACGGAGGAGGCAAGCGUUAUCCGGAAUUAUUGGGCGUAAAGCGUCCGCAGGUGGCGAUUCAAGUCUGCUGUCAAAGCACGGGGCUUAACUCCGUUAAGGCAGUGGAAACUGAAUAGCUAGAGUGCCGUAGGGGUAGAGGGAAUUCCCGGUGUAGCGGUGAAAUGCGUAGAGAUCGGGAAGAACAUCGGUGGCGAAAGCGCUCUACUGGACGGCAACUGACACUCAGGGACGAAAGCUAGGGGAGCGAAUGGGAUUAGAUACCCCAGUAGUCCUAGCUGUAAACGAUGGAUACUAGGUGUAGCUUGUAUCGACCCGAGCUGUGCCGAAGCUAACGCGUUAAGUAUCCCGCCUGGGGAGUACGCACGCAAGUGUGAAACUCAAAGGAAUUGACGGGGGCCCGCACAAGCG